AUGACAGGAACAGCAACAUCCUCAAAGUAUUCAGAUUCAGACUUCAGCAGCGGCAUGGCAGGGAUGGUUUUCUCCUUGGAGAGUUCAUCCGUGCCACUGUUGUGCGUUACCGGCGACAAGUCAGGAAUGACGACCUCCUCAAAGCAUUCAGACCCGCAUUUCAGCGGCGACAUGUCAGGGAUGAUUUCCUCCUCGAUGGGUUCAUCCACAGCACCGGCAUUGCCUUCAGUCUCACACUUUGCCUGUGACAUGCCAGGAUUGACGACCUCCUCGAAGCAUUCAGAGUCACACUUCAGCAGCGACAUCUCAGGCAUGACUUCCUCCUCAGAGAGUUCAUGCUCAUCGCCACCACUGGUGCCAUCUUCAGGUUCGCCAUUCACUGGCAACAUCAGGAACGCUCUUCGGCAGCAGCACGUCAGGGAUGGUUUCAGGGAAGAGCUCGUUCGCACCAUUGCCAUCUUCAGGUUCACGCUUGACCGGAGACAUGUCGGCGAAGAGCCCCCCAAAGGGCAGUUCGGAAUCGGACAUCACCAGCAGUGGCUCGACAGGGGUGCUUUUGACAUCAGGCUUGGCCUCAAGAGGCUCCAUCUGAUGGAUAGUAGGUUCAUCUUCUUCAAUCUCAUAGGGGUUAUCCAAGCGAUCACCAGCAAUGCGUCCGUGCAGGCCACCAUUACCAUUGGCGAUGAUAGGGAUGGUUUCUGCAGAAUGCUCCGACCGAUCUACUUCCACCUUGACUUUGAUCUACAGGGCAUGACAGGAAAAAGAGAAGAUGUUCCCGUGGUUCAUGAAUUUUACAUCAGGUGA
RNAcentral lists this ribosomal RNA (804 nucleotides) under Triticum aestivum (bread wheat). RNAcentral describes it as "partial small subunit ribosomal RNA". Lineage: Eukaryota; Viridiplantae; Streptophyta; Magnoliopsida; Poales; Poaceae. The record is from RNAcentral.